CCUACGGGAGGCUGCAGUGAGGAAUUUUGCGCAAUGGGCGAAAGCCUGACGCAGCGACGCCGCGUGAACGAUGAAGUCCUUCGGGAUGUAAAGUUCUGUCAGCAGGGACAAUAAUGAUGGUACCUGCAGAGGAAGGCCCGGCAAACUAUGUGCCAGCAGCCGCGGUAAUACAUAGGGGUCAAGCGUUGUCCGGAUUUACUGGGCGUAAAGGGCUCGUAGGCGGUAAGAUAAGUCAGAAUUAAAAGGCAGAAGCUUAACUUUUGUUCGGUUCUGAGACUGUCUUACUUGAGAUUGGGAGAGGAAGAUGGAAUUAACAGUGUAGCGGUGAAAUGCGUAGAUAUUGUUAAGAACACCCGUGGCGAAGGCGGUCUUCUGGCCCAAAUCUGACGCUGAGGAGCGAAAGCGUGGGGAGCAAACAGGAUUAGAUACCCCUGUAGUC
RNAcentral lists this ribosomal RNA (439 nucleotides) under uncultured bacterium. Its description in RNAcentral is "bacterial SSU rRNA". It matches the Rfam family "Bacterial small subunit ribosomal RNA", at positions 338 to 795 of the family's 1533-position model. The record is from RNAcentral.